AACUCUGUUAUUAGGGAAGAACAAAUGUGUAAGUAACUAUGCACGUCUUGACGGUACCUAAUCAGAAAGCCACGGCUAACUACGUGCCAGCAGCCGCGGUAAUACGUAGGUGGCAAGCGUUAUCCGGAAUUAUUGGGCGUAAAGCGCGCGUAGGCGGUUUUUUAAGUCUGAUGUGAAAGCCCACGGCUCAACCGUGGAGGGUCAUUGGAAACUGGAAAACUUGAGUGCAGAAGAGGAA
This 238-nucleotide ribosomal RNA is filed under the name Staphylococcus epidermidis. RNAcentral's name for it is "partial 16S ribosomal RNA". It matches the Rfam family "Bacterial small subunit ribosomal RNA", at positions 429 to 659 of the family's 1533-position model. Lineage: Bacteria; Bacillati; Bacillota; Bacilli; Caryophanales; Staphylococcaceae. The record is from RNAcentral.